GAGUUUGAUCCUGGCUCAGGAUGAACGCCGGCGGUGUGCCUAAUACAUGCAAGUCGAGCGCACUGGCCCAACUGAUAUGACGUGCUUGCACUGAAUUGACGUUGGAUUACCAGUGAGCGGCGGACGGGUGAGUAACACGUGGGUAACCUGCCCUGGAGCGGGGGAUAACAUCUGGAAACAGGUGCUAAUACCGCAUAACAACGAAAACCACAUGGUUUUCGUUUCAAAGAUGGUUUCGGCUAUCACUUCAGGAUGGGCCCGCGGUGCAUUAGCUAGUUGGUAGGGUAACGGCUUACCAAGGCAAUGAUGCAUAGCCGAGUUGAGAGACUGAUCGGCCACAAUGGAACUGAGACACGGUCCAUACUCCUACGGGAGGCAGCAGUAGGGAAUCUUCCACAAUGGGCGCAAGCCUGAUGGAGCAACACCGCGUGAGUGAAGAAGGGUUUCGGCUCGUAAAGCUCUGUUGUUGGAGAAGAACGUGCGUGAGAGUAACUGUUCACGCAGUGACGGUAUCCAACCAGAAAGUCACGGCUAACUACGUGCCAGCAGCCGCGGUAAUACGUAGGUGGCAAGCGUUAUCCGGAUUUAUUGGGCGUAAAGCGAGCGCAGGCGGUUGCUUAGGUCUGAUGUGAAAGCCUUCGGCUUAACCGAAGAAGGGCAUCGGAAACCGGGCGACUUGAGUGCAGAAGAGGAGAGUGGAACUCCAUGUGUAGCGGUGAAAUGCGUAGA
RNAcentral lists this ribosomal RNA (729 nucleotides) under uncultured bacterium. RNAcentral describes it as "bacterial SSU rRNA". It matches the Rfam family "Bacterial small subunit ribosomal RNA", at positions 9 to 694 of the family's 1533-position model. The record is from RNAcentral.